UUGAACGCUGGCGGAAUGCUUUACACAUGCAAGUCGAGCGGCAGCGCGGGGGCAACCCUGGCGGCGAGCGGCGAACGGGUGAGUAACACAUCGGAACGUACCCAGUUGAGGGGGAUAACACAUCGAAAGAUGUGCUAAUACCGCAUACGACCUGAGGGUGAAAGUGGGGGAUCGCAAGACCUCACGCAGUUGGAGCGGCCGAUGUCGGAUUAGCUAGUUGGUGGGGUAAAGGCCUACCAAGGCGACGAUCCGUAGCUGGUCUGAGAGGACGACCAGCCACACUGGGACUGAGACACGGUCCAGACUCCUACGGGAGGCAGCAGUGGGGAAUUUUGGACAAUGGGGGCAACCCUGAUCCAGCCAUUCCGCGUGAGUGAAGAAGGCCUUCGGGUUGUAAAACUCUUUCGGCAGGAACGAAACGGUGAGCUCUAACAUAGCUUGCUAAUGACGGUACCUGAAGAAGAAGCACCGGCUAACUACGU
This 482-nucleotide ribosomal RNA is filed under the name uncultured bacterium. RNAcentral describes it as "bacterial SSU rRNA". It matches the Rfam family "Bacterial small subunit ribosomal RNA", at positions 29 to 506 of the family's 1533-position model. The record is from RNAcentral.